GUUCGACUAAGCCAUGCGAGUCGAAUGUAGCAAUACAUGGCGAACUGCUCAGUAACACGUGGACAACCUGCCCUUAGGUUGGGUAUAAACCCGGGAAACUGGGUAUAAUACCCGAUAGGUCUCGAUUGCUGGAAUGCAUCGAGAUUUAAAGCUCCGGCGCCUAAGGAUGGGUCUGCGGCCUAUCAGGUAGUAGUGGGUGUAGCGUACCUACUAGCCUACGACGGGUACGGGUUGUGAGAGCAAGAGCCCGGAGAUGGAUUCUGAGACACGAAUCCAGGCCCUACGGGGUGCAGCAGGCGCGAAAACUUUACAAUGCUGGCAACAGCGAUAAGGGAACCUCGAGUGCCAGGUUACAAAUCUGGCUGUCGAGAUGCCUAAAAAGCAUUUCAUAGCAAGGGCCGGGCAAGACCGGUGCCAGCCGCCGCGGUAACACCGGCGGCUCGAGUGGUAACCGUUAUUAUUGGGUCUAAAGGGUCUGUAGCCGGCCGGAUAAGUCUCUUGAGAAAUCUGGCAGCUUAACUGUCAGGCUUUCAGGAGAUACUGUCUGGCUCGAGGCCGGGAGAGGUGAGAGGUACUUCAGGGGUAGGGGUGAAAUCUUGUAAUCCUUGAAGGACCACCAGUGGCGAAGGCGUCUCACCAGAACGGACCUGACGGCAAGGGACGAAAGCUAGGGGCACGAACCGGAUUAGAUACCCGGGUAGUCCUAGCCGUAAACGAUACUCGCUAGGUGUCGGGCCACGG
RNAcentral lists this ribosomal RNA (741 nucleotides) under uncultured Methanosaeta sp. RNAcentral's name for it is "bacterial SSU rRNA". It matches the Rfam family "Archaeal small subunit ribosomal RNA", at positions 38 to 784 of the family's 1478-position model. The record is from RNAcentral. Lineage: Archaea; Methanobacteriati; Methanobacteriota; Methanomicrobia; Methanotrichales; Methanotrichaceae.